This 217-nucleotide ribosomal RNA is filed under the name uncultured Wickerhamomyces. Its description in RNAcentral is "partial 26S ribosomal RNA". The stretch from base 33 to 217 matches the Rfam family "Eukaryotic large subunit ribosomal RNA", at positions 104 to 285 of the family's 3401-position model. Lineage: Eukaryota; Fungi; Ascomycota; Saccharomycetes; Phaffomycetales; Phaffomycetaceae. The record is from RNAcentral.
UAAGUCUCGCAGUACAGCGGCAAGUGAGCGGCAAAGCUCUUAUUUUUAAUCUAGUACCUUCGGUGUGGAGUUGUAAUUUGAAGAUGGUGACCUUGGGUUUGGCUCUUGUCUAUGUUCCUUGGAACAGGACGUCAUAGAGGGUGAGAAUCCCGUCUGAUGAAAUGCCCAUUCCUAUGUAAGGUGCUAUCUAACAAUCAAGUUGUUUGGUAAUAAAUAA